This 327-nucleotide long non-coding RNA is filed under the name Homo sapiens (human). Its description in RNAcentral is "non-protein coding lnc-NUCB2-2:1". Lineage: Eukaryota; Metazoa; Chordata; Mammalia; Primates; Hominidae. The record is from RNAcentral.
GCAUGGCAAAUGGGGAAAGGCAAGUGAAAGCUUCUGCCCUGUCCCUCCAGCAGCCGUAGGACCAUAGAAACACAGCCUCUUUCUCCUCAACAAAAUGUUCUCCUUACUUUUGCUAUGAAACAAAUUACCCCAAAAACCUAGUGGUUUAAAACAAUCAUUUGAUUAUGCUCAAGGAUUCUGUAGGUCAAGAAGGCAUGAGCCACUGAAUCUGGCCUGUUGUGGUCAUACAGUCUACCACACCCGAGGUGGACCCAGGCACACCAUUUACUGCCAGGAGGGCAGGCCUGAGAGGGGCCCAGCUGGGUGCAAUGGAGGUAAGAUGGGAAA